RNAcentral lists this ribosomal RNA (443 nucleotides) under uncultured bacterium. Its description in RNAcentral is "partial 16S ribosomal RNA". It matches the Rfam family "Bacterial small subunit ribosomal RNA", at positions 338 to 795 of the family's 1533-position model. The record is from RNAcentral.
CCUACGGGGAGCAGCAGUGGGGAAUAUUGGGCAAUGGGCGCAAGCCUGACCCAGCAACGCCGCGUGAAGGAAGAAGGCUCUCGGGUUGUAAACUUCUUUUAUCAGGGACGAAGCAAUUGACGGUACCUGAUGAAUAAGCCACGGCUAACUACGUGCAAGCAGCCGCGGUAAUCCGUAGGUGGCAAGCGUUAUCCGGAUUUACUGGGUGUAAAGGGCGUGUAGGCGGGAAAGCAAGUCAGAUGUGAAAACCAUGGGCUCAACCUGUGGACUGCAUUUGAAACUGUUUUGCUUGAGUACUGGAGAGGCAGACGGAAUUCCUAGUGUAGCGGUGAAAUGCGUAGAGAUUAGGAGGAACACCAGUGGCGAAGGCGGUCUGCUGGACAGCAACUGACGCUGAGGCGCGAAAGCGUGGGGAGCAAACAGGAUUAGAUACCCUUGUAGUC